AAGUCGUAACAAGGUUUCCGUAGGUGAACCUGCGGAAGGAUCAUUCAUAAUGAAAGCGUUUAUGGCACUUUUAAAAAAAUCCAUAUCCACCUUGUGUGCAAUGUUAAAGAUCUCGUCUGAAGGGGGGGGGGAUGGCUUUUGGCUGUUUUCCCUGGAGGCGUGGUUUUUUAUAUAUACAUCAACUCUUUCUGUAAACCAAUUUGUCUGAAAAAUAUUAUGAAUUACUUAAUUCAAAAUACAACUUUCAACAACGGAUCUCUUGGCUCUC
This 268-nucleotide unclassified non-coding RNA is filed under the name Mortierella sp. RNAcentral describes it as "partial internal transcribed spacer region". The stretch from base 1 to 46 matches the Rfam family "Eukaryotic small subunit ribosomal RNA", at positions 1786 to 1831 of the family's 1831-position model. Lineage: Eukaryota; Fungi; Mortierellomycota; Mortierellomycetes; Mortierellales; Mortierellaceae. The record is from RNAcentral.